Molecule: ribosomal RNA, 465 nt
Filed under: Vreelandella stevensii
Lineage: Bacteria; Pseudomonadati; Pseudomonadota; Gammaproteobacteria; Oceanospirillales; Halomonadaceae
Description: partial 16S ribosomal RNA
Rfam family: Bacterial small subunit ribosomal RNA
Source: RNAcentral
CCUACGGGUGGCUGCAGUGGGGAAUAUUGGACAAUGGGCGAAAGCCUGAUCCAGCCAUGCCGCGUGUGUGAAGAAGGCCUUCGGGUUGUAAAGCACUUUCAGUGGGGAAGAAAGCCUUGGGGCUAAUACCCUCGAGGAAGGACAUCACCCACAGAAGAAGCACCGGCUAACUCCGUGCCAGCAGCCGCGGUAAUACGGAGGGUGCGAGCGUUAAUCGGAAUUACUGGGCGUAAAGCGCGCGUAGGCGGUCUUAUAAGCCGGUUGUGAAAGCCCCGGGCUCAACCUGGGAACGGCAUCCGGAACUGUCAGGCUAGAGUGCAGGAGAGGAAGGUAGAAUUCCCGGUGUAGCGGUGAAAUGCGUAGAGAUCGGGAGGAAUACCAGUGGCGAAGGCGGCCUUCUGGACUGACACUGACGCUGAGGUGCGAAAGCGUGGGUAGCAAACAGGAUUAGAUACCCUAGUAGUC